GCCCGGAUGGCAGAGCGGUUAAUGCACAUGCUUGGAGAGCAUGACCCUUCGGGGUGGCCAGGUUCGACUCCUGGUCCGGGCG
RNAcentral lists this transfer RNA (82 nucleotides) under Candidatus Pacearchaeota archaeon. RNAcentral's name for it is "tRNA-Ser". It matches the Rfam family "tRNA". Rfam says of the family: Transfer RNA (tRNA) molecules are approximately 80 nucleotides in length. Their secondary structure includes four short double-helical elements and three loops (D, anti-codon, and T loops). Lineage: Archaea; Nanobdellati. The record is from RNAcentral.